AAAACGUAGCCUUCACUCUCUCCAACCAGUGAAACUUCCUCUUCUUCCACACCAAGUCCACCAUGGAUGAUCGCGGAGAUCCAAUCUUCCCUCUCACAUUCGCCUUUCUCUCUCUUUCUUUCUCAAAUCUUGAGGCCCAUCAAGAAAAAGAUUCCACCUUCCCAGCAAUUCUUCGCUCAAAGAAUCUACAGGAGCAACCUUCAAUCUGCUACCUCCUCAAUUUCAUCCUGGUGUGUCUUGAUUGGCAGCCUAGAGAGGUAAAUAUGCAAUUUGUUUUUCUAAAUCAGCGAAAUUGGUGUACUGAAACCUGGGAUUGUUAAUAUUUUUUAUUUUUUAUUUUUUAAUAUUGAGUUUUAGGUUACAAUAUCUGCCUGCGAUUUAUACUGGUUUUCAGUUUUCUAGUUUCUAGUUAGACAAACCAUUUGCAGAUAAAGAGAGGAUUAUAUAUUAAUUCUGCACUAUUUGGCGGCUGCAUUUUUCACUGAUGAAGCAAAU
This 495-nucleotide long non-coding RNA is filed under the name Prunus dulcis (almond). RNAcentral's name for it is "sRNA ncRNA". Lineage: Eukaryota; Viridiplantae; Streptophyta; Magnoliopsida; Rosales; Rosaceae. The record is from RNAcentral.